CCUACGGGAGGCAGCAGUGAGGAAUAUUGGUCAAUGGCCGGAAGGCUGAACCAGCCAUGCCGCGUGAAGGUCAGUGCCCUAUGGGCGUUAAACUUCUUUUGUGCGGGAGCAAUAAUGGUCACGUGUGGCCAGACGAGAGUACCGUACGAAUAAGCAUCGGCUAACUCCAUGCCAGCAGCCGCGGUAAUACGGGGGAUGCAAGCGUUAUCCGGAUUUAUUGGGGUUAAAGGGUGCGUAGGCUGUGAGGUAAGUCAGCGGUGAAAUGCCCCCGCUCAACGGGGUGAAGUGCCAUUGAUACUGCCUUGCUGGAAUGCGGAUGACGUGGGAGGAAUGUGUGGUGUAGCGGUGAAAUGCAUAGAUAUCACACAGAACACCGAUUGCGAAGGCAUCUCACGAAUCCGCGAUUGACGCUGAUGCACGAAAGCGUGGGUAUCAAACAGGAUUAGAUACCCUAGUAGUC
Molecule: ribosomal RNA, 460 nt
Filed under: uncultured bacterium
Lineage: Bacteria
Description: partial 16S ribosomal RNA
Rfam family: Bacterial small subunit ribosomal RNA
Source: RNAcentral